UACGUAGGUGGCAAGCGUUGUUCGGAAUUAUUGGGCGUAAAGGGUGCGUAGGCGGCGCGGUAAGUCGGGUGUGAAAUCUCGGAGCUUAACUCCGAAACUGCAUUCGAUACUGCCGUGCUUGAGGACUGGAGAGGAGACUGGAAUUCUCGGUGUAGCGGUGAAAUGCGUAGAUAUCGAGAGGAACACCUGCGGCGAAGGCGGGUUGCUGGGCUGACACUGACGCUGAUGCGCGAAAGCUAGGGGAGCGAACGGG
This 253-nucleotide ribosomal RNA is filed under the name uncultured bacterium. RNAcentral describes it as "partial 16S ribosomal RNA". It matches the Rfam family "Bacterial small subunit ribosomal RNA", at positions 524 to 776 of the family's 1533-position model. The record is from RNAcentral.